AUACGUAGGGGGCGAGCGUUGUCCGGAAUGAUUGGGCGUAAAGGGCGCGUAGGCGGCGCGGUAAGUCUGGAGUGAAAGUCCUGCUUUCAAGGUGGGAAUUGCUUUGGAUACUGAUGGGCUUGAGUGCAGGAGAGGUUAUCGGAAUUCCCGGUGUAGCGGUGAAAUGCGUAGAGAUCGGGAGGAACACCAGUGGCGAAGGCGGGUAACUGGACUGCAACUGACGCUGAGGCGCGAAAGUGUGGGGAGCAAACAGGAUUAGAUACCCUGGUAGUCCACACUGUAAACGAUCAAUGCUAGGUGUAAGAGGUAUCGACCCCUUUUGUGCCGGAGUUAACACAAUAAGCAUUCCGCCUGGGGAGUACGGCCGCAAGGUUGAAACUCAAAGGAAUUGACGGGG
This 397-nucleotide ribosomal RNA is filed under the name uncultured bacterium. Its description in RNAcentral is "partial 16S ribosomal RNA". It matches the Rfam family "Bacterial small subunit ribosomal RNA", at positions 523 to 918 of the family's 1533-position model. The record is from RNAcentral.